UUGAGUUUAUGCAAAGUUAACAUAUUCUCUUUAGCAUGUUUCAGAGUAAAACGAUGACCAUAAGACAUGAUAUUCAUUGAUUGGCCAUGAAAUUUGACAUGACUGGAAAAUUAAAAAAUCUAGCUGGUCCAUAGAUUUGAGAAAAUGAUAUAAAUAGAUACUUUCCUGCAACAUAUAUAGAUGAUCUCUUUGUGUUCAUCUUCAUGCCCUGGGCAUUGAGAUAUGGAAGCUUGACCAGUAUUGUUGAGUCCAUAGUAUGGCCACACGACAGAUUGAUGGCGAUGGAGGGACCUGUUUCAUUUUGCCAUGGACGCCUGCAAUUGCCUUCCAAACUCUAUCCUGCUGGCUUUUGGAAGAGCAGAGAUCUUGGAGUUGUUUUGCAGAAGUAUGAAUCCUCACUAUGCAGCAAAGUGUCGUGUUGCAGCCGCAGCCUACUCGAUCCACUCUCUCGGGAAAACAAAAAUUUAUCACAUUUAAAGAAUUAACCGGAAUUCGAGUAGAAGCCUGGCAAUAACGGCAAGCAGGAGAUGGUCACACUCUAGACCAAGCCAGUGUUGAAGAUGCAAUCCUUCCUCUUCCAAAUCUCCAAACACAUGAAAAUAAAAGGAAACAUGGUACAGCACACUCAAUGGUGUCAUUGACCUUGCGAUUCAUAGGGACCUCACCACUAUAAGGCUAUUAAUAAAAGAGAUGGUGCUCCGCAUGAAUUUUUGAAGCUCCAUGGUCAUCAUGGCUUAUUUCAGAUUGAAUGAGGAUGGCGACAACUUGUCUGGUGUAAGGCCUGCUGGACAAACUUCUUUUCAUGCUAGAAGAGCGGUUGCUAAGGGACUACCAUUCCUAGAACUGCAAUUAUCACGUUUGUUUUUUUGUUGUUUCCGUUUCAACGGACGGGUAUAAUCCUAGGCAGUGCUGAUGGAGUUGAUUGUAUUGUCAAAAUAGAGCUAAGAGAGUGUGUGCAUCUGACAAACCACUUUGGGCUAUUUAUUGUUGCUCUAUCUUAAUUUGUAAGUUUGGUUAACCGUGAGAAUUUAAUUAUUUUUUACAAUAUCAGCCAUGAGCCUAAAGUUUUAGAGAUAUUUUCAAUGACUA
Sorghum bicolor (sorghum) is the source of this 1089-nucleotide long non-coding RNA. RefSeq lists it as uncharacterized. The transcript has 5 exons. The record is from RefSeq and is a predicted model, not a curated record. NCBI's taxonomy places the organism in Eukaryota, Viridiplantae, Streptophyta, Magnoliopsida, Poales, Poaceae.